UCUAAUAAGGCUCACUGACCCUGAAGCGUUGUCAACAACGCACGCAUCGCGA
Molecule: ribosomal RNA, 52 nt
Filed under: Acer glabrum
Lineage: Eukaryota; Viridiplantae; Streptophyta; Magnoliopsida; Sapindales; Sapindaceae
Description: partial 25S ribosomal RNA
Source: RNAcentral